Molecule: long non-coding RNA, 2816 nt
Organism: Lytechinus pictus (painted urchin)
Lineage: Eukaryota; Metazoa; Echinodermata; Echinoidea; Temnopleuroida; Toxopneustidae
Exons: 4
Source: RefSeq, a predicted model, not a curated record
AAUGCAAUAUGUUUGAAAUUGAAACGCUGUAUCUUUAAUUUGCGGCUCUCUCGUCACGUCAAAAAUCCUCAUUUAUUUCUAAACACUGGAGUAAUCAGGAUUUUCAUUGGUACCACUGUUCACACAAGUAGUAUCUGCAAAAAUUAGGCUACUCAGGAUUUAUCUGACUGCACCACAGUUUAUCAGUACCUGUACCUUCUGAAAUUCCUCUGUAGCAGAUGAAUUUGUACUGGAGCUUAUGACAAUGGCAUCUUCAAAGGACAAAAUCACCAGGAAUACCAAAGUCAUGAGGAGCUUCCGACUACAUCGAAUUGCUGCAAUUUGCAUUAUAGUGACUUUGCUGUUAGUGGAUCAUAUUAGCUUGGCAAGAGAGACAGUUAUUGUUCGGGAAAGGAGUUUGAGUGUUGCAGAUGUGCCAAAUAGUAAAUUCUAUCCUGGUUCGGGGGCAGCAGUCACACCGUCCUUCUAUAGAUUACUAGAGUUUCAUGAUAAUCGAGGAAACGGGAGUCACAUGUUUGUUGGGGGUAAAAAUGUUCUUUUGGAACUCCGCCUAGACUCUCUUUCACUGAUCAGAGAAAUUGUGGUUCCAAAGUAUGCUGUGGGUUUCUCAUGUGAUGACUUACAGGAUAGCGAGGUAAGAUGUUUUGCGCUUUGUUGACAUUUGAUGUUUACAGAACCAAUGAUUCCAUUUUAAAAGUAUUAAUUAAGAUCAUAUUUUAUUCAUUCUAUAGGCCUAGUGGUUUGUAAAUCAUCUUUUUAAUGGCAUCCCUGCUUGCCAAAUCAGGAAAAUAUUACGAUUGUUGCUUUUUGAAAGUGGGCUAUACAUGUACUCUACCUUUUCCAUUUAUUGACAUUCAGGUACUGUAUGUUGUGUGUGCAUGUGUUUCCUUUCACUUUCCUACAUUACAUAAACUAUUAAAGGGAAAUAAACAAGUGCUUGAUUUUAUCUUUGUAAAACAAUAUGCUUUAAAAUAAACAUGCAGGUAGAGACAUGGUACUGCUGUCAUGUACAUGUACCAAACAAUGUUUCAUUAAAAAUUGAUUAUCAAUGUGGAUGAGAAAGAGAGAGAGAGGGAGAAAGAGAAAGAGAGAGAGAGAGAGAGGGGGGGGGGUAAAAAAGGCUCUUAAAGGAGAAUGAAACUCUUGGAGCAAGUUAGCUUUUGUGAAAGCAGCAAAAUCAAAGAAUAAGAUCUACAAAACUUUGAGUAAAAUACGACUAGCAAUAAAAGAGUUAUGAGCAUUUGAAUGUCGAGAUCACUAAUGCUAUGGAGAUCCUCCCAUUGGCAAUGCGACCAAGAUCUGUGAUGUCACACACGUACAACUCUCCCAUUUGGACACUGAAAAUAUACCCCAAAACAUCUCUUUUUGCUCAUUCUAAUCAUAUGACAAACGAUUCAUCAAUGAUAUAAUGUUGUGAAACCUCUGUACUUGUCAUCUCAUAAAGAAAACACCUCACCUUGUGAUAGACUCUAUAAAAGUGAGAAUAUAAGUGAAAUAAGUACUAAAGUAAUGAGGGAGUUGUACGUGUGUGAUAUCACAGAUCUUGGUCGCAUUGCCGUUGGGAGGAUCUACAUGGCACUAGUGAUCUCAAUAUUCGAAUGCUCAUAACUUUCUUAUUAUUCAUUCAAUCUUCCUCAAACUUUCAACAAUAUGUUUCUUUGAUUUUUCUCUUUGAUAUGGAUUCAGCUGGUUUCAAGGGUUUCAUUCUCCUUUAAGUAAAUUGUUAUCAUGUUAACCUUCAAUCCAAUAACUUAUUAUUUUGAUCUAGAAACAUUAAGUUUUAUGUGAGGUCUGUUGUUGUGAUAGUUACAAGGAGAAAAAUGGAUCCGGUUUCAUUUCCAAUACUGAAUUGACGUAUGUACAGUACAACACUGAAAAUAUAUUUGAUGCCAUAUUCAUGACAUGACAUUCCACAAGACUUUCAUUACAUCGCAUGAUUUUUGAACACUUAGAUUAACAUUUAAAUAAUAGGAAAAAAAACAGUAAGUGCCUCUGUCACUUUGAGUCUUACAACUUUAUUCUCAAUAUAAACACAUCAAAGAGUUUUUGUUGACGAUCUACAUUUACAUUUAUGGAUACAGAUAUACAUGUAUAUAUCAACCAAAAAAUUACACGGGGGCGGCGGGCGAAUUCGCCCCGGAAAGUCCAAAAAGAGCCCCGGAAAAGGGCUAAAAACAUUCACACGAGGGCGACUGCAAAACUCAUAAUCGCCCCCGUCAACACUGUAUAUUUAUGUAGCAUUUCAUGCAUACGUACGUGAUUGCAUUUAAAUUAUACAUUAUACAUUAUAUUGCAUUUAAAUGUGUACUUGUUUGCAUUUGCGUGUGACCGCUUAUAUUACAAUCUUGAGCUGUUUCCUACGCGCACACCAAUUGUGCUACAAAAUCCCAAACUCAUUGCCCGACUGCAGUUGCGAACAUCACGUAUAUAUGUACGUAAAUCACCGCGGAGCUGCCCGCAGAGUCACACAAGCAAAUACAAGAUACAGUGGCACAAUAACAUUGCUCAUUUCAGCGCACGCGAGUCCAUCAUAGGAUCGUGUCAGCUAAGAGAACUUACCUGUGAAUCUCUGUUUACGGGCGUGAAUAGUGCAUGUGGUACAUGUGCCUAUGAAUUCGAGAUGGUACCGUUACGCACUUCUCGCUAGCUCGCGCCGCGCUGCUUCGAAGCUUCGUCGCGAUCGCAUGUACAGUACACGCGUAUGAUUACACCGUAUAUGCCAACUACCGUGUAUAUAUAUACACACACACCCAUACACACACACAAACGCAAAAAAGCCGCGAAAUAGCUCCAGAAAUUGUAGCCCUGGAAAGUGG